RNAcentral lists this non-coding RNA (25 nucleotides) under Cricetulus griseus (Chinese hamster). The record is from RNAcentral. Lineage: Eukaryota; Metazoa; Chordata; Mammalia; Rodentia; Cricetidae.
UAAGCAGAGGAGGAAGUAAGCUGGG